Molecule: long non-coding RNA, 597 nt
Organism: Homo sapiens (human)
Lineage: Eukaryota; Metazoa; Chordata; Mammalia; Primates; Hominidae
Source: Ensembl
GCUUCACUGUAAGCUUUCGAGCAACAGAAACUAGGCUAAGAUUGCAGCCUGCAGAGACUCCAAGCGGAGUCGGAGAAAUUUGGCCUCGUUUUAAUAGGGCUGAGGAAUGAACUCCGGAGGUCAAUAAAGCCCUCCAAAAAUGAUGAAUGAUUGAGCACCUGUGAUGAUGAUAGUGAUUACCAGAGCAAUUAAACAGUUUGAUUAAAUGAGCCAUCAUAACAAUGAUGUCUGCGGGAAAUCGGCCCUCACAUAUAAAGAAAGAUAGUGCGAAGGGGCUGGCAGAGGCGCGGAUAGCGCGACGCCAGGGAGAGGGGCUGCGGGCCGCGAGGUUUCUGCCCAAUGGCCCGAGCAGGGACGGCCAGACUCACGGAGCUUCAGGGAGGAGAGUGUAGCCCAGGUUUUCAGCCACUCUUUUUUGCCGGGCUUCAAGCCUGCUAGAGCCGACGGGUAGGAAAUCUGAAGGUUGGGGGGAGGGUACUUCCUCCACGUCCUCUUUUUUUUCCUAGAAGAACUCCAAGAUUAAAAGUAUCCUUAUUUGUUGCUGAGUUGCUCGUCGACAUUUAAGAGAAGGUGAGUAAAAAAGAAAAGAAGAUGAAA